Long non-coding RNA from Mustela lutreola (European mink), 617 nucleotides. RefSeq lists it as uncharacterized. The transcript is spliced from 2 exons. The record is from RefSeq and is a predicted model, not a curated record. Lineage: Eukaryota; Metazoa; Chordata; Mammalia; Carnivora; Mustelidae.
GGAUGGCCGCGCGCACCUGCCCGACGCACCUGCGCCCACCUGCCCGGGACCCGGACUGGGGCUGGGGCUGGGCCGGGAUAGCAGCCCCCGAAGUGGGAAGGAACUGGCUCCUCGGGGCGACUCCGAUUCCGGAUGAAGCCCAGCCCCUCGCUUCCCAACCACCCACAGCUGGGACCUCUCUGGGGAAAUUCUCUCUUCACCCUGCCCCACCCCUGGCUUAAGCUUUGGAGCUGAGUUUGGCACCUCCUCCAGGAAGCCUUCCUGGAUGUCCUCUGCAUUCCCAUAGCAGGCCAGAUCAGCCUGUGCCGAAGUUUCCUGUGGAUUUCUACGGACUCACAAGACUCGUGGAUGAGCAUACCGGUUCAGAACCCAAGGCCCUUCCCCGCUCCAACUCACCCCCCACCAUGCCCAGCACAGUAGCUGCUCAAAAAUGUAUUUUGAGGGACACCUGGGUGGCUCAGUCCCUUAAGCAUCUGCCUUCAGCUCAGGUCAUGAUCCCAGGGUCCUGACAUUGAGUUGAGUCCCACAUGGGGCUCCAUGCUCAGUGGGGAGUCUGCUUCUUCCUCUACCCUCUCCCAGUGCCUGCUCUCUCUCAAAUAAAAUCUUUAAAAAAUAAA